Molecule: long non-coding RNA, 247 nt
Filed under: Elaeis guineensis (African oil palm)
Lineage: Eukaryota; Viridiplantae; Streptophyta; Magnoliopsida; Arecales; Arecaceae
Description: long non-coding RNA (EGUI_LNC079071)
Source: RNAcentral
AACGUAUCUGGGGGUCCCCUUUUUAUAGACGAAGAGCAUAACCGAUUGACAGCGACGUCUGUAACCGUCUGGUAGUGGGCUGUUCAGAGCCGCACAGAGUUUGUUACGGAGAGUAGUGGCAUCAGGGGUCGUUCAGGGCCACGUGGAGUUUGUUAAGGAGAGUGGAGUGGUGCCCGUUGUCAUGACUUUCCAGAGAGUGAUAGAGCCCGGAGAGUGGAGUGGUAUCCAUUAUCGUGACUUGCCAGAG